RNAcentral lists this ribosomal RNA (491 nucleotides) under uncultured bacterium. RNAcentral's name for it is "partial 16S ribosomal RNA". It matches the Rfam family "Bacterial small subunit ribosomal RNA", at positions 28 to 506 of the family's 1533-position model. The record is from RNAcentral.
GAUGAACGCUAGCUACAGGCUUAACACAUGCAAGUCGAGGGGAAACGACAUCGAAAGCUUGCUUUUGAUGGGCGUCGACCGGCGCACGGGUGAGUAACGCGUAUCCAACCUGCCCACCACUUGGGGAUAACCUUGCGAAAGUAAGACUAAUACCCAAUGACGUCUCUAGAAGACAUCUGAAAGAGAUUAAAGAUUUAUCGGUGAUGGAUGGGGAUGCGUCUGAUUAGCUUGUUGGCGGGGUAACGGCCCACCAAGGCGACGAUCAGUAGGGGUUCUGAGAGGAAGGUCCCCCACAUUGGAACUGAGACACGGUCCAAACUCCUACGGGAGGCAGCAGUGAGGAAUAUUGGUCAAUGGACGAGAGUCUGAACCAGCCAAGUAGCGUGCAGGAUGACGGCCCUAUGGGUUGUAAACUGCUUUUAUAAGGGAAUAAAGUGAGUCUCGUGAGACUUUUUGCAUGUACCUUAUGAAUAAGGACCGGCUAAUUCCGU